UAUGAGAGUUUGAUCCUGGCUCAGGACGAACGCUGGCGGCGUGCCUAAUACAUGCAAGUCGAACGCUUCUUUUUCCACCGGAGCUUGCUCCACCGGAAAAAGAGGAGUGGCGAACGGGUGAGUAACACGUGGGUAACCUGCCCAUCAGAAGGGGAUAACACUUGGAAACAGGUGCUAAUACCGUAUAACAAUCGAAACCGCAUGGUUUUGAUUUGAAAGGCGCUUUCGGGUGUCGCUGAUGGAUGGACCCGCGGUGCAUUAGCUAGUUGGUGAGGUAACGGCUCACCAAGGCCACGAUGCAUAGCCGACCUGAGAGGGUGAUCGGCCACAUUGGGACUGAGACACGGCCCAAACUCCUACGGGAGGCAGCAGUAGGGAAUCUUCGGCAAUGGACGAAAGUCUGACCGAGCAACGCCGCGUGAGUGAAGAAGGUUUUCGGAUCGUAAAACUCUGUUGUUAGAGAAGAACAAGGAUGAGAGUAACUGUUCAUCCCUUGACGGUAUCUAACCAGAAAGCCACGGCUAACUACGUGCCAGCAGCCGCGGUAAUACGUAGGUGGCAAGCGUUGUCCGGAUUUAUUGGGCGUAAAGCGAGCGCAGGCGGAGGUGCGGCUGGAUCACCUCCUUUCUAAGGAAUAUUACGGAGACUACACAAUUUGUUUUUACUUUGUUCAGUUAGAGGAGAGUGGAAUUCCAUGUGUAGCGGUGAAAUGCGUAGAUAUAUGGAGGAACACCAGUGGCGAAGGCGGCUCUCUGGUCUGUAACUGACGCUGAGGCUCGAAAGCGUGGGGAGCAAACAGGAUUAGAUACCCUGGUAGUCCACGCCGUAAACGAUGAGUGCUAAGUGUUGGAGGGUUUCCGCCCUUCAGUGCUGCAGCUAACGCAUUAAGCACUCCGAGUUCAAUUGCUUAUUUUCUUGAUCUAACUUCUAUCGCUAGAAGAAGGAUCAAAACCCAACCGUAAGGUUGAUAAGGUUAGAAGCAACGCGAAGAACCUUACCAGGUCUUGACAUCCUUUGACCACUCUAGAGAUAGAGCUUCCCCUUCGGGGGCAAAGUGACAGGUGGUGCAUGGUUGUCGUCAGCUCGUGUCGUGAGAUGUUGGGUUAAGUCCCGCAACGAGCGCAACCCUUAUUGUUAGUUGCCAUCAUUCAGUUGGGCACUCUAGCAAGACUGCCGGUGACAAACCGGAGGAAGGUGGGGAUGACGUCAAAUCAUCAUGCCCCUUAUGACCUGGGCUACACACGUGCUACAAUGGGAAGUACAACGAGUUGCGAAGUCGCGAGGCUAAGCUAAUCUCUUAAAGCUUCUCUCAGUUCGGAUUGCAGGCUGCAACUCGCCUGCAUGAAGCCGGAAUCGCUAGUAAUCGCGGAUCAGCACGCCGCGGUGAAUACGUUCCCGGGCCUUGUACACACCGCCCGUCACACCACGAGAGUUUGUAACACCCGAAGUCGGUGAGGUAACCUUUUGGAGCCAGCCGCCUAAGGUGGGAUAGAUGAUUGGGGUGAAGUCGUAACAAGGUAGCCGUAUCGGAAGGUGCGGCUGGAUCACCUCCUU
This 1554-nucleotide ribosomal RNA is filed under the name Enterococcus faecium. Its description in RNAcentral is "bacterial SSU rRNA". It matches the Rfam family "Bacterial small subunit ribosomal RNA". Lineage: Bacteria; Bacillati; Bacillota; Bacilli; Lactobacillales; Enterococcaceae. The record is from RNAcentral.